RNAcentral lists this ribosomal RNA (373 nucleotides) under uncultured organism. RNAcentral describes it as "partial 16S ribosomal RNA". It matches the Rfam family "Bacterial small subunit ribosomal RNA", at positions 527 to 896 of the family's 1533-position model. The record is from RNAcentral.
GUAGGUGGCAAGCGUUGUCCGGAAUUAUUGGGCGUAAAGCGCGCGCAGGCGGUUCUUUAAGUCUGAUGUGAAAGCCCACGGCUCAACCGUGGAGGGUCAUUGGAAACUGGAGAACUUGAGUACAGAAGAGGAAAGCGGAAUUCCACGUGUAGCGGUGAAACGCGUAGAGAUGUGGAGGAACACCAGUGGCGAAGGCGGCUUUCUGGUCUGUAACUGACGCUGAGGCGCGAAAGCGUGGGGAGCAAACAGGGAUUAGAUACCCUGGUAGCCCACGCCGUAAACGAUGAGUGCUAAGUGUUAGGGGGUUUCCGCCCCCUUAGUGCUGCAGCUAACGCAUUAAGCACUCCGCCUGGGGAGUACGGCCGCAAGGCUG